Molecule: ribosomal RNA, 449 nt
Filed under: uncultured bacterium
Lineage: Bacteria
Description: partial 16S ribosomal RNA
Rfam family: Bacterial small subunit ribosomal RNA
Source: RNAcentral
AGCGAACGCUGGCGGCAGGACUAACACAUGCAAGUCGAACGAACUCUUCGGAGUUAGUGGCGGACGGGUGAGUAACACGUGGGAACGUGCCUUUAGGUUCGGAAUAACUCAGGGAAACUUGUGCUAAUACCGAAUGUGCCCUUCGGGGGAAAGAUCUAUCGCCUUUAGAGCGGCCCGCGUCUGAUUAGCCAGUUGGUGGGGUAAUGGCUCACCAAGGCUACGAUCAGUAGCUGGUCUGAGAGGAUGACCAGCCACAUUGGGACUGAGACACGGCCCAAACUCCUACGGGAGGCAGCAGUGGGGAAUCUUGCGCAAUGGGCGAAAGCCUGACGCAGCCAUGCCGCGUGGAUGAUGAAGGUCUUAGGAUUGUAAAAUCCUCUCACCGGUGAAGAUAAUGACUGUAGCCGGAGAAGAAGCCCCGGCUAACUUCGUGCCAGCCGCCGCAGUAA